GUUUCUCUGUUCACGGGAUUGAUUGGCAUUAGCGGCGAUGAAGGACGUGCAGGAGGACGAUAUGCGUUGUUGUUGUGACGGUGUCUGAAUUGUG
Molecule: ribosomal RNA, 94 nt
Filed under: Encephalitozoon cuniculi
Lineage: Eukaryota; Fungi; Microsporidia; Unikaryonidae
Description: partial 5.8S ribosomal RNA
Source: RNAcentral